This 253-nucleotide ribosomal RNA is filed under the name uncultured bacterium. Its description in RNAcentral is "partial 16S ribosomal RNA". It matches the Rfam family "Bacterial small subunit ribosomal RNA", at positions 524 to 776 of the family's 1533-position model. The record is from RNAcentral.
UACGGAGGGUGCGAGCGUUGUCCGGAAUCACUGGGCGUAAAGGGCGCGUAGGCGGCUCGGUAAGUCGGGGGUGAAAUCCUGCGGCUUAACCGCAGGGCUGCCUUCUAAACUGUCGAGCUCGAGCACGGUAGAGGCAGAUGGAGUUCCCGGUGUAGCGGUGGAAUGCGUAGAGAUCGGGAAGAACAUCAGUGGCGAAGGCGGUCUGCUGGGCCGUUGCUGACGCUGAGGCGCGACAGCGUGGGGAGCAAACAGG